RNAcentral lists this ribosomal RNA (494 nucleotides) under uncultured bacterium. RNAcentral describes it as "partial 16S ribosomal RNA". It matches the Rfam family "Bacterial small subunit ribosomal RNA", at positions 28 to 507 of the family's 1533-position model. The record is from RNAcentral.
GACGAACGUUGGCGGCGCGCUUAACACAUGCAAGUUGAACGGAAAGGCCUGCUUUCCCUUGUGGAUUGCGGGUACUCGAGUGGCGAACGGGUGAGUAACACGUGAGUGAUCUGCCCCCAACUUGGGUAUAAGCCUGGGAAACUGGGUCUAAUUCCCGAUAGGACUGCAGGGUGGUGCCUGUGGUGGAAAACGAUUUUCUAGUGGUUGGGGAUGAGCUCGCGGCCUAUCAGCUUGUUGGUGGGGUAAUGGCCUACCAAGGCGGCGACGGGUAGCCGGCCUGAGAGGGUGGACGGCCACAUUGGGACUGAGAUACGGCCCAGACUCCUACGGGAGGCAGCAGUGGGGAAUAUUGCACAAUGGGCGGAAGCCUGAUGCAGCGACGCCGCGUGGGGGAUGACGGCCUUCGGGUUGUAAACUCCUUUCGACCGCGAGGAAGCCACCUGGUUGGAAGGGUGGUGACGGUAGUGGUAGAAGAAGCACCGGCUAACUACGUG